RNAcentral lists this long non-coding RNA (569 nucleotides) under Prunus dulcis (almond). RNAcentral describes it as "sRNA ncRNA". The record is from RNAcentral. Lineage: Eukaryota; Viridiplantae; Streptophyta; Magnoliopsida; Rosales; Rosaceae.
AUGACACAGAUUUGCAAUCAGAGAGACAAUUUUUUGGAAGUUGAUGAUGUGUGUGCUUUUGUGUAUCUACAAAUAUUAUACCUAACGUCGUUGCAAAUUUGCAAUCAGAGAGACAAUUUUCAACGACGGUUAUAUUAUACCUAACGACGUUUAAAAAAAAAUCAACGUCGCUCAACAAAUAUAUUACGUCGUCUUAGUCUUACUUAAGACGACGAAAAACGACGACAGUAAUACAAAAACAGUCGUUGUUUUUAUAUUCUUAUUUUUUUAAAUCUGUCAUCCAAAAAAGAAAAUUUACAUAUUCCAGAACAUUAAUUUCCUUCAUUUUAAAUUUCUUUGAUUUUCAGAUUUCUUCAUUCCAGCACAUCUGAUCUUCAGAUUUCCCUGAGAAGCGAACUUUCCUUCGACAGCGAGUGGAGGCCAGGCUUGCAUCUCUUUUGAUGGAAAGCAAGGAGUAUUCAGAAGCACUAAGUGUCCUAUCAGGCUUGAUCAAGGAAGUGAGAAGGCUAGUUGACAAGCUUCUUCUUGUGGACAUAGAUUUGAUGCGAGUAAGCUCAAUUUCUCUUUGA